Molecule: small nucleolar RNA, 126 nt
Organism: Mesocricetus auratus (golden hamster)
Lineage: Eukaryota; Metazoa; Chordata; Mammalia; Rodentia; Cricetidae
Source: Ensembl
UUCCACAGCUACUGGUCUGCAGCUGUUCUUAAGGUAGCAGUUGUAACGUUCCUCUGUGUGAAAGAAACUUACACAAUUUAACACCUCUUUCUUACCAAACAGAAAGAAUAUUCGUGACAGACACAC